GUUGGUGAACCAGCGGAGGGAUCAUUAAAGAGUUGCAAAACUCCCAAACCAUUGUGAACAUACCUUCAACGUUGCUUCGGCGGGUUGGCCCCGGUCUCCGGGGUCCCCGGCCCUACUCGGGCGCCCGCCGAAGACACCAUUGAACUCUGUCUGAAGAUUGCAGUCUGAGCGAUUAACUAAAUCAGUUAAAACUUUCAACAACGGAUCUCUUGGUUCCG
RNAcentral lists this unclassified non-coding RNA (218 nucleotides) under rhizosphere metagenome. RNAcentral's name for it is "partial ribosomal RNA internal transcribed spacer region". The record is from RNAcentral.